GGAAAGGCCACUUCGGUGGUACUCGAGCGGCGAACGGGUGAGUAACACGUGAGUAAUCUGCCCCUGGCUUUGGGAUAGCCACCGGAAACGGUGAUUAAUACCGGAUAUGACAUGGACUCGCAUGGGUUUGUGUGGAAAGUUUUUCGGCCAGGGAUGUGCUCGCGGCCUAUCAGCUUGAUGGUGAGGUAAUGGCUCACCAUGGCUUCGACGGGUAGCCGGCCUGAGAGGGUGACCGGUCACACUGGGACUGAGACACGGCCCAGACUCCUACGGGAGGCAGCAGUGGGGAAUAUUGGACAAUGGGCGGAAGCCUGAUCCAGCAACGCCGCGUGAGGGAUGACGGCCUUCGGGUUGUAAACCUCUUUCAGUACCGACGAAGCGAAAGUGACGGUAGGUACAGAAGAAGCGCCGGCCAACUACGUGCCAGCAGCCGCGGUAAUACGUAGGGUGCGAGCGUUGUCCGGAAUUAUUGGGCGUAAAGGGCUCGUAGGCGGUUUGUCGCGUCGGGAGUGAAAACGCCGUGCUUAACACGGCGCUUGCUUUCGAUACGGGCAGACUAGAGGUAUGCAGGGGAGAACGGAAUUCCUGGUGUAGCGGUGAAAUGCGCAGAUAUCAGGAGGAACACCGGUGGCGAAGGCGGUUCUCUGGGCAUUACCUGACGCUGAGGAGCGAAAGUGUGGGGAGCGAACAGGAUUAGAUACCCUGGUAGUCCACACCGUAAACGUUGGGCGCUAGGUGUGGGGUCCAUUCCACGGAUUCCGUGCCGCAGCUAACGCAUUAAGCGCCCCGCCUGGGGGAGUACGGCCGCAAGGCUAAAACUCAAAUGAAUUGACGGGG
This 837-nucleotide ribosomal RNA is filed under the name uncultured Actinomycetes bacterium. RNAcentral's name for it is "bacterial SSU rRNA". It matches the Rfam family "Bacterial small subunit ribosomal RNA", at positions 68 to 918 of the family's 1533-position model. Lineage: Bacteria; Bacillati; Actinomycetota; Actinomycetes. The record is from RNAcentral.